Molecule: long non-coding RNA, 983 nt
Organism: Ahaetulla prasina
Lineage: Eukaryota; Metazoa; Chordata; Lepidosauria; Squamata; Colubridae
Exons: 4
Source: RefSeq, a predicted model, not a curated record
AAUAGCUCCUUCCGUGUCCUACAUAUGAUAAUCUAGUUUAUCAUGUACUAUUCUAUCUGGGAUUUCCAAAUCUGGAUUUGCAAUUAUUAUGAAUAUGCAAUUAUUAUUGCGGUUGCAGGAACUGGGCAGGGCUAGUCUAGUGAAGAGAAGGAUCAGGGGAGAGACAUGAUAGCAGAAUUAGAAUUAGAAUUUUAUUGGCCAAGUGUGAUUGGACACACAAGGAAUUUGUCUUGGUGCAUAUGCUCUCAGUGCACAUAAAAGAAAAGAUACCAGGAUAGCAGUCUUCCAAUAUUUGAGGGGCUGCCACAGAGAGGAAGGGGUCAAGCUAUUUUCCAAAGCUCCUGGACAAGAAGCAAUGGCUGGAAACUAAUCAAGGAGAGAGUCAACCUGGAAAUAAGGAUAAAUUUCCUGACAGUUGAGGACAAUUAAUCAGUGGGACAACUUGGAUCCAGAAGUUGUGGGUACUCCAUCACUGCAGGAUUUUAAGAAGAUGUUGGACAACCAUUUACCCAGAAUGGAAGGAGUCGGGUGCUAACUUUCUACAUCGGGUUCGAGAAGAAAAAAUCUGUCAGGCAGAAGCCAAUAAAUUCACAGCUGUGUCUCUACAGCUGACCAAGGACUGUAUUACAAGGGAACCUUCCUUACAGGUCACCCAUCUUUCCUUUUAGCCCAACCGUGGGUGGAAUACAGCCGGUUCGGACCGGUUCGGGUGAACCGGGUGUUAAUUUUAAUCUGGUUCGCUGAACCAAUUCUUGCAAGGACUGGCUGACCUCGCCCACCCCACCCCACCCCUCCCAGGAGUCUCCACACAGCCUGUUUUAGAUGCUAGUCAAGGUCAGGCCAAGACGGCAUCUGGAGAAGGAGUGGUCGGAGUGAUGCCUCAAGAUGGGACAGGUGGUGAUUGGAGCACGUGAUCGGCACAGGAGUCAAGGGGUGGAGGUGGGGUGGGGUUUUGUACUACUGAGGAAAAACCCGGAUCUCCA